This 4588-nucleotide long non-coding RNA is filed under the name Triticum aestivum (bread wheat). RNAcentral describes it as "long non-coding RNA (TAES_LNC000066)". The record is from RNAcentral. Lineage: Eukaryota; Viridiplantae; Streptophyta; Magnoliopsida; Poales; Poaceae.
UUUUUUAUUUUCAUAUGUUGGUGUUGUCUGCAUUAUUUUAGGACAAGAUUUUCAUAGGUCAAUUUGAUACCCGUGUGAGGAAGUACUUCUUGGUGAGUGGUCCAGAUAGCAUGGAUGCACAUGAUUCGGUAUGCAAUAUCUUGUUCUUUGCCUCUGUAUUAGUUUUGCACUAUGAUCCACCUUGUUAAUAUUGUUUUAUUUUUCUUUGUACCGUUUGAUAUUAAUUCUCGGUUUUUAAUGAUUCACGUGUUUAUGUUGCUUCAGGUUGUUUUCCCCACUUUUGACCCGCCUGAGAUUCCUGCUUCCAUGGGUGGUGUUGGUCAUUGGGUUUCGAUAUUUCUUGACAUGAAGAAUUCAAGGUUCCAGCUUCUCGACUCCUAUUAUGGACCAGACGAUGAUUGUGCGGUACGCCUGUUUCGGUGGAUGACCGAUAACAUCAAGAAGCUUUGGAGCGAUGCGAGCAACGACAGGGAGACACCCUUCAGUCCUCUUACCAUCGACCAUUUCCCUCUGGACUGGAUUGAUGUCCCCCAGCAGACUAACAAGUAUGAGUUCCACUUUUCUCUUUAUCACUUAUGUUUAUCUGUAGUUGUACUUAAGCUGCGACGUGUUUUAUUCGUUGGCUUUCUUUUUCUGUUCUAACACUAUUCUUUUUCUGUGUUUGAUGGCAGUAUCGACUGCGGAUUUCUUCAUGCUUACGAAUGUUAAUUAAUAUCAUGAUGGGGUUCUUGCAAAUUAUUCCCAUGAUAAUAUCUUGGAUAUCAGGAAGACGUGGUUGUACUCAAUCGCUUCUUCUAACCUGUUUGAGACAGACUUCCAAGCUCUGUUUGGCUACUACACAUGUAAGUCUUGGAACUUGGACUGCUUACCUGCCCUGCAUCUUUUAUUCUACCUGAACUUCAUAUUUUCUUUGAACUUGAACUUUUUCUUGAGAUCUAGCUGGGCUGCUGGUUUCAGGUGGAGAGGAGCAUUUCUUGUACAUGAACUUCAUUUCUAUCUUUUUUAUUUUGCUUGUGUGUUUUGUUUCAGUAAUUUCUUUCCUUCCAUUGCUUACUUGGACAUGAGCAUUUCUUCUACUUGAACUUCAGAGAUGAUGCCUUUCUAUGGUUUUGUUAGCUGUAGUUGAAUGUUUUCCAGUUCAUCGGUUUAUCUUGAACUGUGCCUUUGGUUGUGCCUGAACUUCAUUUAGUUGUUAAUGCAACUAAUUUUUUUAGGUUAGCUUGAGUAGUAACCAUGUCAUCUGUAUUAGUUGGACUGCACAUUGUGAUGUUCCUGAACUUCAGUUAUAUUUAAUGGUGAUGUUUUUCUCUUCCUUUUCUUUGACAGUGGAUCAGUUGGACUUGACCGAUUACCACUACUCAUUCCUCGGGUCACAGGAAUACCAGCCUAGGGAGGAAUCGAUGAGUACAACUCCGAUAGAAGAUGAUAGACCUCGAACCCUUAUUCCUUCCAAGUUGGGGAAGCAGGCUGGUGGUAUUCGUGGUACUCCAAAAAACCCUUGCUCCAGGAAGGUUGGUGCAGUCGAAGCAGCCGAAGCAGAAGUGAUUUCGUCCGAUGAUGAUUUUGAGAAGAUUGCUUACCUGAAGAAUGGUAAAUCUGCUGCUGGAACUGUUGCUGGGAGAGGUGGGAAGAAUGUUGUCAUCACUAGGAGGAAACCGGCAGUUGAGUCUGGCAACAUAACUACCUCCAAGCGAACAUCAAGAUUGCCUUUGAAGUGGCGUUCUGCUGUCGCUCCCCUAAAAAAUACAGUUAUCCUCAUCUAUCCGAGGCCCGGAAGUUGAAACAGUAUGUGCUUAGUAAAGAGGGUCUGGAGAAGUAUUCUGAGUGAGUUUUCUUCUUCUUAACUUUGUUGCUGCCAGAGAUGCUACUUUGUGUCUGAACUUCUGUUGUUGUAGUAUGUGGACUUCUGUUCAUUUCUCCCUUGCCUUGGAGUUAUAUUGUCUGAACUUCUGUUGUUAUAGUAUGUGAACUUAUGUUUAUCUCUCUCUGCCAUUGAGUUAUAGUAUCUGAACUUCUGUUUGUUAUUGUAUCUGAACUUCUAAUAUUUUUCCCAUCCUUUUAAAUCUGCAGCACAAGCUAAUGCAUGUUUACCAUCCCUGGGAAUGUGAUUGACCUCAUAGGACAUGUCCUUUAUACCCUUUUCGGUGAAGGGCAGCAGAUGGAAGGAGACAUAAUGGAUUAUCUCAUAAAUUUGUGGAAGGAUAAGCUGGAGACCUCUGAGAUAUUCUCUUGUGCUGACACGGUUGUACUUAGUCCCUACUUCAUACAGGUGUUAAUUCUUGUGCACCCCUAUAUCCCUUUUUGCUCUAGUUUUGGUGUAGUGGCGUCUGGGAGGUGUUUUAAUUGUGAUUUUGUGAAUUCACGGUACUGCCUGGAGUAUGAUUUUUUCGGUGCAACAGUUCCAAACUUUGAUGUAAAAAAAUUUGCUGGUCUCCUCCCAAUGUUUGUUCGCAAGGAAGAAGACCUUCUUAACGCAAAGCUGGUUAGGUUUUCAUAACUCUUGCUUUUUUUAAUUUUAUGUACAUCAUUUUGCUGAGUUUGUCAAGAAGUUUUUGUUCAUCCCGGUUCUUCAAUACAUAUGCUUUAUAGUUUGUGUUCACCAUUCCUUUCAUUCUUGGCAGGUUUUUUGAUACUAUUCAAGCCAAUUGGCACAAUGGCGCACUACAGUGUGUAUGUGGUGAAUAGAUAUCGUGGAAGCAUUGACAUCCUUGAUUCACUUCCUUACGCUAAUAUGGAAACGUCACGAACAAGUUUCCACGGAGACUGCCAAAAUAUCGUGAGUGUUUCUUAGCCUGAACCUCCUUUCAUAUUCUCUUGUUUGACACGAAGUUUAUUAUGCCUUCUGUUGACAAAAUAUGUUUCUGUCUCUGUUGUGGUAAUACUGCUUGAACUGACUAUUAUUUGACAGUUGAACCUAUGCUAUUUUGUUUAGCUGGAUCUUAUGCAAGUGUCGUUUUUUAUGUACCUGAACUUAACUAAUUUGGUUAACAUGUUUUUGACUUCAUCUUAUUUUGUUAUUUCUGGCAGAUCAAGAGAUUUGUUGGGUUGCUCGAGGAGGUGUACGGCAAGGCUGCGUACAAAGCGAGCAAGCAGCCUAACUGGGUGACUAUUGCAAAGAGGCCGACUUUUAUUGAUAUUCCUAAGCAGAAGAAUAAUGAUUGUGGUUUCUUUGCCGUGAAGUUCUGCUCUUCAUAUGAUGGCAAUGAGCUUGUUGAAGAUUUUGGUGAUGUGGAAGUAUGUUUUGUCCUUGUUCUUGUCUCAUCAUCCUUUCAUUUUUCUUGUGUGUUUUUGCUGAGACGCUCCUGUUAUGGUUUUAGUUAUCCGUUACUAAACCAUCGUUUCAUUUUCUUUGUUUGCAGGCUGCUGCAGAGGAUUGGAAGGCUGAGUUCAUGCAUACUCUAAUGUUUAGCGAGAAGAAUGAAGUCAUGCGUGCAGAGCUCCCUAAAGAGAUCCAGUCCUUGGGCCCGUGAAUUCGAAGCAUUAGUUUCAUUGUAGAUUUGAUUUCAUAUAGAUUUUAGGUUUGAUAAUGUUUGGAACGAUUCCGUAAAGAUUUGGUUGUCAGAAUGUUUUAGUGAUUUGUUUAUCUAUAGCUGGAGCACUAUUGCUUAUGAUAUUGUGGACAAAUGUAUUUGGUGUGAAGAAUGAUUUGGCUUGUGAAUUUCAAUGUACUGCAUGGUUUUCAGUAUCCAUGUGUUGUAUGUUUUUGCCCCAACAGAUGUACCUGAACUUCUCUCCUCGACUAUGGUUGAACUUCUUGUUUUUUUGUGUUGUUUAAUUUUGGGCCCCAACAUAUGAUCGUGGACUUGAACUUCUGCUUUGAGACGUGGCUGGGCUGCUGGUUUCAGAUGGAGAGGAUUUUUUGUGUUGUGUAAUGUAUUGGUAUUUUUCAACCCAACCAAUAUGUAGCCUUUUGCAUCGAAUCUAUAUUUGUUUUUUUGUGUUUUUUCAAGUGCGAAUGGAUUUCAACUGUAACUUUGUGCAAAAAUAUUCUCAUACACUCCUUGAUGUUUCUUUAUCUUUUGUCGGCAUUGUACAUGAACUUCUGCACGUAUGCAAACAGAACUUCAUAUGUGAGCGCGUUGUCUUAGGCUUGCUAACCUUAGUUCAUACGACAAAACUUUAUUUUUUAAGCAUAUUUUUUCCUACAUCGAUUUUUAUAUACCAUUACACUGUAUAAUUAUUUGCUGGUUGCUCUUUUAUGGAAUACAACACCAGCACCUCCUGCCAUAAUAUACCAGAACUUCCACUGUAAUCUUACUUGAACUUCAUAGUGUAUAUUUUUCAUUUUUGUUCUUACUUGCACUUUUAUGGAAUACAUCACCAGCACAACACUUCCUCUCAUAAUGUACCAGGACUUCUGCAGUAAUAUUACUUGAACUUCACAGUGUAUAUUUUUCAAUUUAUUACAGCUUGCUCUUUCAUGCAACACAUCACCAGCACCUCCUCUUGUACUAUACUACUACUUCUGCAGUAAGCUUACUUGAACUACUACUGUAUAAUUUCUUUGAAACUUCAACAAUAAAAGUUCAAGUAAGCUUUCUCCUAAAAUACUGUUUUCUAUAGUGGAAUAAUAUUCUGCACAUUGACA